CACGUAGGCGGCUCUUUAAGUCAGGGGUGAAAUCCUGGAGCUCAACUCCAGAACUGCCUUUGAUACUGAGGAGCUCGAGUCCGGGAGAGGUGAGUGGAACUGCGAGUGUAGAGGUGAAAUUCGUAGAUAUUCGCAAGAACACCAGUGGCGAAGGCGGCUCACUGGCCCGGUACUGACGCUGAGGUGCGAAAGCGUGGGAGCAAACA
This 206-nucleotide ribosomal RNA is filed under the name uncultured bacterium. RNAcentral describes it as "partial 16S ribosomal RNA". It matches the Rfam family "Bacterial small subunit ribosomal RNA", at positions 568 to 774 of the family's 1533-position model. The record is from RNAcentral.